GGCCCGGGCGCACCUGGCCUGGAACUGGCCCCCAGGACGCCCGCCGCCUAGCCUGGGCCUGGGGCGCCUGCGUUCCUCGCUGCCCGAGCCGGGCCCAGGGCAGCCGGGGACGCUGGGAACGCGGAGCCAGUGGGUGAGAUGAGGGAGAGAUGAUCCCGAGGUCAUCAGCGUGGGAGCCAAGGCCUCCCC
Molecule: long non-coding RNA, 189 nt
Filed under: Chinchilla lanigera (long-tailed chinchilla)
Lineage: Eukaryota; Metazoa; Chordata; Mammalia; Rodentia; Chinchillidae
Description: lncRNA (ENSCLAG00000029013.1)
Source: RNAcentral